This 453-nucleotide unclassified non-coding RNA is filed under the name Hevea brasiliensis (rubber tree). The record is from RNAcentral. Lineage: Eukaryota; Viridiplantae; Streptophyta; Magnoliopsida; Malpighiales; Euphorbiaceae.
ACAAAUUCUUAUUUCAAUGCUUUUAACAAUAAGACUCCAAGAAUACAACAAAGAAGACAGAAAUUAGGAAUCAAGGAGUUCUCAUUUUAUUGCAGAAGAGCAUUCAUUUCUUGGGAGUAAAGAGAAAAAAGAGAAACACAUCGAGCGCGGCCUUUCUCAGGAAUAUAUAAGCAUCAAAAGCUCAAGAUUCACUCAUCUGUUAGUGUACAACAUAAUCCAAACUCCUAAAACGAGGUCAUCGAGGAACUUCACUGCAAAAACUCUCGGGGAUCAGUGACAUAACCGGUCAAUGCUGAUGCUGCAGCUGUAUACGGAGAUGCAAGAUAAAUCUGGCCUUCCUUGUGUCCCAUUCGACCAGGGAAGUUCCUAUUCGUGGUUGAUACACAGACCUGAGCUUCAUUCAUGCGUGCAUAAGUGUCUUUAGGGCCACCCAAACAAGCACCACAACUAGGA